AGAAGGAACUAAAUAUCUGUUAAGCACCUAACAUGUGCCAGGCACUGGCUUGAACACUUUACAAAUAAUUUCAUUUGAUCCUCACAACAUCUCUGCAAGAUAGGGGCUUUAUCCCUCAUUUUACAUUUGAGGAAACCAAGGCAGACAGCAACAAAUUCUCUUCCCAGGAGCACACAGCUAAUAAGUGUAUGUGACCACAUUUGAACUCGGGUCUUCCAGCCUCAAGGCCUAGUAUUCUAUCUACUAUACCAUUUAUCUUGCCUCUGAUGAACAAACACAUAUAAAUGACAUUUCAAAUCCAGAAGCACUAUUUAGUGCUGUCAUAAUAAUAAUUAUUAUUAUAGAUGUUGAAGUAAGGUCAAGUCAGCAGUUGAUUAAUAGAGUUGUUGUUUUUUUAAUUGUUGUAGGUGGUAUCAGAGGAUCUAAACUUCACAGAAUAAGGAAUCUCAAGUGCUAUAAGAUGCUCAUCCAGACUCCUCUUGACCCCAAUGUCCUCAAAGCUGACUCUGAAACAUUUGAAGGAUAAGAGAACAGAAAAAUCACAAGUAUAACACAGGCAUCUCACCAAGAUAAACAGGAAGAUGUCCUUUGAGUUCUGGGAAAAGCAACUAAAAAUCUGAACCACAUUACAGCUAUGAUAUUGGGAUCCACAUGAACACCCACACAUGUAUGCCACUGAAAACUGCACCUGCUGAUCUAUAAACUCAGGGCUCUGUCAGUCAUCCAUAGUCUGGAUAUUUCUACAUGUAUGCAAAAUUGCAUUAAGUUCAUUGUAAAGCUAUUUAUUAUAUUACUUCCUGGUGAAAACAUAGAGAAAAGAUAAUGACAUAAAUUGGAAGGCUUUCUAAAUAUUAAAAAAAAUAAUUCUUGGCCCU
Monodelphis domestica (gray short-tailed opossum) is the source of this 875-nucleotide long non-coding RNA. RefSeq lists it as uncharacterized. NCBI's taxonomy places the organism in Eukaryota, Metazoa, Chordata, Mammalia, Didelphimorphia, Didelphidae. The record is from RefSeq and is a predicted model, not a curated record.